RNAcentral lists this non-coding RNA (26 nucleotides) under Mus musculus (house mouse). The record is from RNAcentral. Lineage: Eukaryota; Metazoa; Chordata; Mammalia; Rodentia; Muridae.
UAGGAGCCGAGCCUCGGCAGAGAGCU